GGAGUAUGUUUGCAUCCUUGAAUUUGAAUUUCAGUUGAGAACAGAAGUUGAUGUUUCACUUUUUCGUUAAAUAUUUGUAGGAAUAGCUGCAUGUGAAAGCAACUGUCAUUGGCAGUCACCAUGCAAUUCAAGGAAUGUCACAGUUCAGGAGUUAUUUUGUACCUGUUGCUCACAAGAAGAGAACAACUGAGACAGAUGUCAGGCUGCAGGAGGACAUGCAUUCCAGAAACAGGAGGAACUUGGAGGGAGCAGAUUCAGACUGCACAAUUUCUCUUCCAUGUGUGGACAUUGGAAAUGCUCAUUUCCAUAACUGAUUAACUGGACAGCUUUUGCAGCUGCACAAGACUUGUUUCAAAGUGACGGUUCUCUUAGAGAUUCUCAC
RNAcentral lists this long non-coding RNA (382 nucleotides) under Otus sunia (Oriental scops-owl). Its description in RNAcentral is "lncRNA (ENSOSUG00000015997.1)". Lineage: Eukaryota; Metazoa; Chordata; Aves; Strigiformes; Strigidae. The record is from RNAcentral.